RNAcentral lists this ribosomal RNA (465 nucleotides) under uncultured bacterium. Its description in RNAcentral is "bacterial SSU rRNA". It matches the Rfam family "Bacterial small subunit ribosomal RNA", at positions 338 to 795 of the family's 1533-position model. The record is from RNAcentral.
CCUACGGGAUGCACCAGUGGGGAAUAUUGCACAAUGGGCGCAAGCCUGAUGCAGCCAUGCCGCGUGUGUGAAGAAGGCCUUCGGGUUGUAAAGCACUUUCAGCGAGGAGGAAGGUGGUGAGCUUAAUACGCUCAUCAAUUGACGUUACUCGCAGAAGAAGCACCGGCUAACUCCGUGCCAGCAGCCGCGGUAAUACGGAGGGUGCAAGCGUUAAUCGGAAUUACUGGGCGUAAAGCGCACGCAGGCGGUUUGUUAAGUCAGAUGUGAAAUCCCCGGGCUCAACCUGGGAACUGCAUUUGAAACUGGCAAGCUAGAGUCUCGUAGAGGGGGGUAGAAUUCCAGGUGUAGCGGUGAAAUGCGUAGAGAUCUGGAGGAAUACCGGUGGCGAAGGCGGCCCCCUGGACGAAGACUGACGCUCAGGUGCGAAAGCGUGGGGAGCAAACAGGAUUAGAUACCCCUGUAGUC